Molecule: long non-coding RNA, 7021 nt
Organism: Malaclemys terrapin pileata
Lineage: Eukaryota; Metazoa; Chordata; Testudines; Emydidae
Exons: 3
Source: RefSeq, a predicted model, not a curated record
UAGUGGCCAGAGAAAGAGGCGACUUUCCCCAGCUCCAGGGCUGCUGGGGGAGACGGCCCUCCUUCCCAGCCUCAGCUCUCUGACUGCUGUGGCAGGGGAGAGACUUCCCAGCCUCAGCUCUCUGACUGCUGUGGCAGGGGAGAGACUUCCCAGCCCCAGCUUGGGGGCUGCCGCAGCGGGGGAGAAAGGGCACAUCCAUCGCAUUAGAAAGAUAAGACGACUGAUAUUAAAAUAUGAGUUGUUGUGUGCUUUUAUUUGUAGAACAAAAAAAUCUUUAUUAUUAUUAAGAUUUUUUUUAUAUAGCAAUUUUAUCCAAAGUGCUUUACAAUAGUUAGUUAAUGGUACAAACAAUAUUUGGAAAUAUCAUUAAGUGGUCUGCUGAGACCCUAAGCAAUUUUCAAGUGGUCCUCGAAAAAAAUAGUUUGAGAACCACUGCCUUAGACAAAAUACAUUGUAAUAUAGGUCAGAUUCUUAAACAACUGGGGUUUGUAUCUUGCCAGGUUUCAAGACUUAUGUCCACCUCUCUCUACAUUUGGGUAUAGAUAAGCUAACCUUAAUUUUCCUGAUGCUCAGUUUAUUGCACAAGACCAGCGUACAGCGGUUGCCAUUAAAAGCCUUUUGCUUUAGGUAACAUUACCUCAGAACUUGUAAUCAUCGUUAUACUUCAUACUAAAUAUAUCCAGGAACACAGCAAUACUGGAGGUAACUUAUCUAAGGCAAUCGAAACUUUAAAUGUGUCAAGAAAUGUUAUAUUCCAAAAGAAUUAUAUCAAUAACACACAUCAGUUGCGACUAAUCCCAAUCUCUACCUUUUUGCCUCAAACUUUCUCUCCCCACCCAUCAUAAGCCUCUUAAGAACUUUGUACUUAUGAUAAUGAUGGAUGGGUAAAAUUAAUACCUCAUCAUUUAUCUUUUUCUACAAAACUAGACUUCUCAAUCACAAGGAAGGAGGCUGGACUGCUCACUUGGAAACAUAAUCCGGUCUGUAUGCUUUAAAGUGGGAAAAAUAGCUUUACUUUAUCAGAUAACUAACUAAUCAUUAGCUUCUCCUGAUUAAAGCCAUCUACUGAGCAUAGUGACUUUGUCCUUAUAAGUAUAGGGUGGGUUAGAAUGAAGAGCAUUGUAUAGUCACAGAAGAGAAAUCCUUAGGAUAGCAAAAUGAUCUCUUCCUCCUUUCCUCUUCCCCAUCCUCCCAAAUCCAGGUGUGCAAUAGCUUUCAAAGGCUCAUGGUGCUACCACAGUAUCCAAGACCCUCCUACCAAAAGCAAUGUCCAUCUGCUUCACCUAGUGUCUAGCAAAUGAGUGACAAGAUGAGCAAACUGCUGCCUUGCAGAUUUUUUUUUUAGGAUAUGAACGGCUUUUCUGCCCAUCACAUAGAGAAAAAUCUUACAGGGAAGAUCAUUCUGUUAUUUACAUUUAUAUUGCAGUACUGUCUAAAGGUUGGGCCCCACUGUUCUAGGUGCUGAAGUAAAUCAUGUUGCUUACAAAUAGGGUGACCAGACAGCAAAUGUGAAAAAUCAGGACAGGGGGUGGGGGGUAAUAGGACCCUAUGUAAGAAAAAGACCCCAAAAUUGGGACUGUCCCUAUAAAAUUGGGACAUCUGGUCACCCUACUUACAAAUAGCUUUAUGCUCCUAUUUAAUGCUAUACUUUAGCCACUCUCUUGCUCUUGGGAGAGUCAGAACAAAGAGCCCUAGAUUCCAGAGUUCUUGCCAGGUGGAUCAUAACAGCUCUGGCAGGUUCUAAUGUGUACCAGGGUUUUUCCUUGGGAUACUGAAUAUGCUGCAGAACUCUCUCCCAAGAGCUGUAAAACAGUUCUAGUAGCUUUUGGUGUAAAAGCUUGGCCAAGGUGCUAGUCCCGUGUUCCUGAAUGGGGAGUCAAACAUCUUCCUUGGCAAGUGACAAGUCUGGUCUUGUCUCCUCAACUGUAGUGGUGCAGGUCUGUCCAAGCUUCCCUAGCACAGCUCUGCCAAUGAACCUCAGGUCUCCUUUCAACAUCCUGAUUAUCUCAAGACUGCAAAGAUUAGUCCAGUAAACUGCAUGGACAGUGAUUUGUACAAAUGAAAACUAGGAUACCACCACAAACUAAUUAAAAAUUCACACUUAUUCAAAGAUGAGAAGCUAGCAGCCUGUAUUGGGAUGAGGUAGAUGAGGCUUUCUUUGGACAACUGAAGUUCCCAGAUCACAAGCCCUGAUUCUAAUGGGUGACUUCAGUCACCCUAACAUCUGCUAAGAGAGCAAUAUAGCAGUGCACAGACAUUCCAGGAAGUUUCUGGAGAGUUGGGGACAACUUCCUGGUACAAGUGCUGGAGGAACCAACUAGCGGCUGUGCUCCUCUUGACCUGCUGCUCACAAACAGGGAAGAAGUGAGUGGCAACUUAGGCAGCAGUGACCAUGAGAUGGUUGAGUUCAGGAUCCUGACAAAAGGAAGAAAGGAGCGUAGCAAAAUAUGGACCCUGGACUUCAGAAAAGCAGUCUUAGACUCCCUUAGGGAACUGAUGGGCAUCCCCUGGGAGGCUAAUAUGAGGGGGCAAGGAGUCCAGGAUAGCUGGCUGUAUUUUAAAGAAGCCUUAUUGAGGGCACAGGAACAAACUAUCCCGAUGUGCAGAAAGAAUAGCAAAUAUGGCAGGCGACCAGCUUGGAUUAACAGUGAAAUCUUCGGUGAGCUUAAACUAAAAAAAGGAAACUUACAGGAAGUGGAAAUUUGGACAGAUGACUAGAGAGGAGUAUAAAAAUAUUGCUAGAGUAUGCAGGGGUGUAAUCAGGAAGGCCAAGGUACAACUGGAGUUGCAGCUAGCAAGGGAUGUGAAAGGUAACAAUAAGGGUUUCUACAGGUAUGUUAGCAACAAGAAGGUGGUCAGGGAAAAUGUGGGACCUUUACUGAAUGGGGGAGGCAACCUAGUGACAGAUGAUGUGGAAAAAGCUGAAGUACUCAAUUUUUUUUUUUUGCCUCGGUCUUCACAGACUAGGUCAGCUCCCAGACUGCUGCAUUGGGCAACACAGUAUGGGGAGAAGGUGAGCAGCCCUCAGUGGUGAAAGAACAAGUUUAGAAAAACUGGACAUGCACAAGUCCAUAGGUCCAGAUCUAAUGCAUCCAAGGGUGCUGAGGGAGUUGGCUGAUGUAAUUGCAGAGCCAUUGGCCAUUAUUUUUGAAAAUUCGUGGUGAUCAGGGAGGUCCCGGACGAUUGGAAAGAGGCAAAUAUAGUGCCCAUAUUUAAAAAAGGGAAGAAAGAGAACCCAGGGAACUACAGACCAGUCAGCCUCACUUCAGUCCCCGGCAAAAUCAUGGAGCAGGUCCUCAAGGAAUCCAUUUUGAAGCACUUGGAGGAGAGGAAGUUGAUCAGGAACAAUCAACAUGGAUUCACCAAGGGCAAGUCAUGCCUGACCAACCUGAUUGCCUUCUAUGAUGAGAUAACUGGCUCUCGGGACAUGGGGAAAGUGGUGGAUGUGAUAUAUCUUGACUUUAGCAAAGCUUUUGAUACGAUCUCCCACAGUAUUCAUGCCAGCAAGCUAAAGAAGUAUGGAUUGGAUGAAUGGACUAUAAGGUGGAUAGAAAGCUGGCUAGAUUGUCGGGCUUAACGGGUAGUGAUCAAUGGCUUGAUGUCUAGUUGUCAGCUGGUCUCAAGCAGAGUGCCCCUGGGGCUGGUUUUGUUCAACACCUUUAUUAGUGAUCUGGAUGAUGGGAUGAACUGCACCCUCAGCAUGUUUGCAGAUGAUACUAAGCUGUGGGGAAAGGUAGAUAUGCUGGAGGGUAGGGAUAGGGUCCAGAGUGACCUAGACAAAUUGGAGGAUUGGGCCAAAAGAAAUCAGAUGAGGUUCAACAAAGACAAGUGCAGAGUCCUGCACUUAGGAAGGAAGAAUCCCAUGCACCGCUACAGGUUGGGACCGACUGGCUAAGCAGCAGUUCUGCAGAGAAGGACCUGGGGAUUACAGUGGAUGAGAAGCUGGAUAUGAGUCAGCAGUGUGCCCUUGUUGCCAAGAAGGCCAACAGCAUAUUGGGCUGUAUUAGUAGAAGCAUUGCCAGCAGAUCGAGGGAAGUGAUUAUUCCCCUCUAUUCGGCAUUGGUGAAGCCACACCUCAAGUAUUGUGUCCAGUUUUGCCCCCGCCCCCCACACCCACCACUACAGAAGGGAUGUGGACAAAUUGGAUAGAGUCCAGCGGAGGGCAACUAAAAUGAUUAGGGGGUUGGGGCACAUGACUUACAGAGAGAGGCUGAGGGAACUGGGCUUAUUUAGUCUGCAGAAGAGUGAGGGGGGAUUUAAUAGUGGCCUUCAACUACCUGAAGGGGGGUUCCAAAAAGGAUGGAGCUCGGCUGUUCUCAGUGAUGGCAGAUAGAACAAGAAGCAAAGGUCUCAAGCUGCAGUGGGGGAGGUCUAGGUUGGAUAUUAGGAAACACUAUUUCACUAGGAGGGUGGUGAAGCACUGGACUGGGUUACCUAGGGAGGUGGUGGAAUCUCCAUCCUUAGAGGUUUUUAAGGCCCGGCUUGACAAAGCCCUGACUGGGAUGAUUUAGUUGGUUUUGGUCCUGCUUUGAGCAGGGGAUUGGACUACAUGACCUCCUGAGGUCUCUUCCAACUCUAAUAUUCUAUGAUUCCAUAUAUGUAUACAUAUACACACACACACACACACACACACAUGCCUUUCAUUUCCAUUUAAUACAAAAUGCAUCUCAAAACACUGACAAACAAUAAAACUGCAAAAAUUAGUCUGAAUGUCAUCAGUACACCAAACACCAAGUGAACAAUUGGAUCCCCCACCUAAUAUGAAAUAUAUCUAUUGUAAGACUUUCCUUUAAAAGCUUAUCUCAAGUAGGAAUGUCUGAGUUUUCUUCAAAAGUAAAGUAAAUGGUAAAGUUUGCGGAUGAUACCAAGCUGGGAGGGGUUGCAAGUGCUUUGGAGGAUAGGAUUAUAAUUCAAAAUGAUCUUGACAAACUGGAGAAAUGGUCUGAAGUAAAUAGGAUGAAAAUCAAUAAAGACAAAUGCAAAGUACUCCCGUCAAGAAGGACAAUUAGUUGCACACAUACAAAAUGGGAAAUGACUGCACAAGAAGGAGUACUGUGGAAAGGAAUCUGGGGGUCCUAGUGGAUCACAAACUAAAUAUGAGUCAACAGUGUAACAAUGUUGCAAAAAAAGCAAACAUCAUUCUGGGAUGUAUUAGCAGAAGUGUUGUAAGCAAGACACAAGAAAAGACAGUUACCUUUUUCCAGAACUGGUGUUCUUUGAGGUGUUUUGCUCUUGUCCAUUCAACUUGGGUGUGUUUGCUCGCCACAUGCCCCGGUGUCGGAAAUUUUUCCUGCAGCAGUAUCCAUAAAGGACCAGCUCCAGCGCCCCCUGGAGUGGCGCACACAUGCUGUGAUAGAUAUAGUGCUGCUGGCUCCCCCCACCCCCCGUGAACUCACCAUAAUUGGGACUCUCAGCAACCUGUGUGCUAGCUCAGGGACAGUGGGCUAACACCAUUCAACUUAGAUGACUCCAAAGCAGUAUCCCUCAGAGGUGGAUAGAGUAGAUUGUAACACAGCUCUGCCGAACCCAGCGUUGUCCCUGGCCUGCUGAGGGAUGGCAUAGUGGGCCAUGAACGUGUGCACCAAGGACCACAUUGCGGCUUUACAAAUGUCCUGGAUCAGGAAGUGUGCCAGGAAGGCUGCCGAAGAUGCCUGCGCUCUGGUCGAGUGGGCUCUGACAAUUAGCGGCAGAGGGACUCUCGCCAACCCAUAUCAGGUCCAAAUGCAAGAGGUGAUCAGUUAGAAAUCCUCUGCAUGGACACCGGAAGGCCCUUCAUCCUAUCAGCUGUAGAGAUAAGAAGUUGAGUCGACUUAUGGUAAGGCUUUGUCCGAUCCAGGUAGAAAGCCAGGGCCCUUCUUACAUCCAAAGAGUGAAGGCGCCUCUCUUCACUAGUCUCAUGGGGCUUAGGGCAGAAGACCAGAAGGAAGAUGUUCUGGCUCAUGUAGAAAGUAGACACUACCUUGGGAAGGAAGGCUGGGUGGGGCCAGAGCGGAACCGUGUCCUUAUAGAAGACCAUGUACAGUGGUUCUGAGGUCAAGGCUUGUAUCUCAGAGACUCGCCUCGCCGACAUCACUGCCACCAGGAAAGCUACCUUCCACGGUAGGUGAGAUGGUAGCACGAGGCCAAAGGCUCAAAGGACAGGCCCGUGAGCCUAGACAGAACCAAGCUGAGAUCCCACUGAGGAACCGGGGACCAAACUUAUGAAAAAAGACCUCUGAGGAACCUGAAACAGGUAGUCUAAGAUCGACUGUACUGCAGAAUGCGAAGGGGAGAGGCCCCGUUUGGCUGCCCAGUGGGAGAACCUCGUCCACUUUGCCAGGGCCUUGCUGAUGAGCAGAAUUGGAGGGAACGUGUACAUCAGGCUUCCUGUCCAUGGCAGGAGGAAGGUGUCAGAGAGGGAGCCCUUGCCCAGACCCUGUCUGAAGCAAAACCUGUGGCACCUCCUGUUCUGCCACUUGGGGAGUUCCCCACCUCUGGAAAUUCAUGCCGAUCACCUCUGGGUGGAGCACCCACUCAUGGUGAGAGGAGAAGUCCCUGCUUAGGUGAUCUGCUAGCAUCUUCUUGGCACCCGGAAAGUGACACGCUUCUAGGUGGAUUCCAUGGUCGAUGCAGCAGCCCCAGAGAUGGAGUGCCUCUUGGCAGAGGGCCGAGGAUUGCACUCCACCCUGUCUGUUGAUGUAGAUCAUCGAGGCUAAGUUGUCGGUCAAGACUCUGACCACUCUGCCUGACAGGUGAGGUAGGAAGACCGUGCACAGUCUGCACACCGCCCUGAGCUCUUUGAUGUUUAUGUGUAGUGUCAUUUCCUUUGGGGACCACACACCCUGGGUCUAGAGAGUGCCGAGGUGUCUGAAACCAACUUGAGUGAGUGAGGAGUGCUGAUGAAGGGAACUCCUUCCAGGACUUUCCUGGGGUCGGUCCACCAUCGCAGUGAGGCUGAGUCGACGGCAAGUGGCUAACAGCAUCGCAACAUCCCUUUGGACCUGGGACCUGCAGCUGCCCUGCCAGUCGUCAAGGUACGGGU